RNAcentral lists this ribosomal RNA (885 nucleotides) under Dujardinascaris gigantea. RNAcentral describes it as "SSU rRNA". It matches the Rfam family "Eukaryotic small subunit ribosomal RNA", at positions 111 to 1002 of the family's 1831-position model. The record is from RNAcentral. Lineage: Eukaryota; Metazoa; Nematoda; Chromadorea; Rhabditida; Heterocheilidae.
UAUUAUAUACUUGAUCUUGAUUUCCUACGUGGAUAACUGUGGCAAUUCUAGAGCUAAUACAUGCACCAAAGCUCCGACUUUUUGACGAGCGCAUCUAUUAGAUUAAAACCAAUCGGGUCUUGACCCGUCAAUUGGUGACUCUGAAUAACUAUGGCUGAUCGCAUGGUCUUGUACCGGCGACGUGUCUAUCAAGUGUCUGCCUUAUCAACUGUCGAUGGUAGUUUAUGUGCCUACCAUGGUUGUAACGGGUAACGGAGAAUAAGGGUUCGACUCCGGAGAGGGAGCCUGAGAAACGGCUACCACAUCCAAGGAAGGCAGCAGGCGCGCAAAUUACCCACUCUCGGCAUGAGGAGGUAGUGACGAAAAAUAACGAGACCGUUCUCUAUGAGGCCGGUUAUCGGAAUGGGUACAAUUUAAAUCCGUUAACGAGGAUCUAUGAGAGGGCAAGUCUGGUGCCAGCAGCCGCGGUAAUUCCAGCUCUCAAAGUGUAUAUCGUCAUUGCUGCGGUUAAAAAGCUCGUAGUUGGAUCUGCGCCUCAGGACUUGGUCCGCCCACUGGGCGAGAACUGGGCUCCUGGGCUAGUACUGUUGGUUUUCCCUACGUUGCCUUCACCGGUCGCGUAGGGUGGCUAGCGAGUUUACUUUGAAAAAAUUAGAGUGCUUCACGCGGGCUUUUGUCUGAAUACUCGUGCAUGGAAUAAUGGAAUAGGAUCUCGGUUCUAUUUUGUUGGUUUUCUGAUCUGAGAUAAUGGUUAAGAGGGACGGACGGGGGCAUUCGUAUCGCUGCGUGAGAGGUGAAAUUCUUGGACCGUAGCGAGACGACCGACUGCGAAAGCAUUUGCCAAGAAUGUCUUCAUUAAUCAAGAACGAAAGUCAGAGGUUCGAA